UAGGAAGUAGUAUAUUGGAAAUACGGGGGGUUUUGAUCUUCCAGAUGUGGGUUCGAUCCCCAUUUUUCUAG
RNAcentral lists this transfer RNA (71 nucleotides) under Sooglossus thomasseti (Thomasset's Seychelles frog). RNAcentral describes it as "tRNA-Gln". It matches the Rfam family "tRNA". From Rfam's summary of the family: Transfer RNA (tRNA) molecules are approximately 80 nucleotides in length. The record is from RNAcentral. Lineage: Eukaryota; Metazoa; Chordata; Amphibia; Anura; Sooglossidae.